RNAcentral lists this ribosomal RNA (418 nucleotides) under uncultured Glomeromycotina. RNAcentral describes it as "SSU rRNA". It matches the Rfam family "Eukaryotic small subunit ribosomal RNA", at positions 569 to 992 of the family's 1831-position model. Lineage: Eukaryota; Fungi; Glomeromycota. The record is from RNAcentral.
AGCAGCCGCGGUAAUUCCAGCUCCAAUAGCGUAUAUUAAAGUUGUUGCAGUUAAAAAGCUCGUAGUUGAAUUUCGGGGUCAGUAGUUUGGUCGUGCCAACGGUAUGUACUGGACUCACUGAUUCCUCCUUCCUGAUGAACUGUAAUGCCAUUAAUUUGGUGUUGCAGGGAAACUGGACUGUUACUUUGAAAAAAUUGAGUGUUUAAAGCAAGCUAACGCUUGAAUACAUUAGCAUGGAAUAAUGAAAUAGGACGUUCGAUCCUAUUUUGUUGGUUUCUAGGAUUGACGUAAUGAUUAAUAGGGAUAGUUGGGGGCAUUAGUAUUCAAUUGUCAGAGGUGAAAUUCUUGGAUUUAUUGAAGACUAACUACUGCGAAAGCAUUUGCCAAGGAUGUUUUCAUUAAUCAAGAACGAAAGUUA